CUUGGUCAUUUAGAGGAAGUAAAAGUCGUAACAAGGUCUCCGUUGGUGAACCAGCGGAGGGAUCAUUACCGAGUUUACAACUCCCAAACCCCUGUGAACAUACCUAUACGUUGCCUCGGCGGAUCAGCCCGCGCCCUGUAAAAAGGGACGGCCCGCCCGAGGACCCUAAACUCUGUUUUUAGUGGAACUUCUGAGUAAAACAAACAAAUAAAUCAAAACUUUCAACAACGGAUCUCUUGGUUCUGGCAUCGAUGAAGAACGCAGCAAAAUGCGAUAAGUAAUGUGAAUUGCAGAAUUCAGUGAAUCAUCGAAUCUUUGAACGCACAUUGCGCCCGCCAGUAUUCUGGCGGGCAUGCCUGUUCGAGCGUCAUUUCAACCCUCAAGCUCAGCUUGGUGUUGGGACUCGCGGUAACCCGCGUUCCCCAAAUCGAUUGGCGGUCACGUCGAGCUUCCAUAGCGUAGUAAUCAUACACCUCGUUACUGGUAAUCGUCGCGGCCACGCCGUAAAACCCCAACUUCUGAAUGUUGACCUCGGAUCAGGUAGGAAUACCCGCUGAACUUAAGCAUAUCAAUAAGCGGAGGAAAAGAAACCAACAGGGAUUGCCCUAGUAACGGCGAGUGAAGCGGCAACAGCUCAAAUUUGAAAUCUGGCUCUCGGGCCCGAGUUGUAAUUUGUAGAGGAUGCUUUUGAUGCGGUGCCUUCCGAGUUCCCUGGAACGGGACGCCAUAGAGGGUGAGAGCCCCGUCUGGUUGGAUGCCAAAUCUCUGUAAAGCUCCUUCGACGAGUCGAGUUGUUUGGGAAU
This 803-nucleotide small RNA is filed under the name uncultured Fusarium. Its description in RNAcentral is "eukaryotic LSU rRNA". The stretch from base 527 to 803 matches the Rfam family "Eukaryotic large subunit ribosomal RNA", at positions 1 to 281 of the family's 3401-position model. Lineage: Eukaryota; Fungi; Ascomycota; Sordariomycetes; Hypocreales; Nectriaceae. The record is from RNAcentral.